AUGCGUUCUCCCAAGCAACUGGCGAAGCUCGCCAUGCUUUUACUGCUGGCGUUGCUGCUGCUCUGCAAUGGAGUUCGCAACGUUCAUUGCUCAAGGAUCCACGAGAAUAGCGUCGAUCUGCACUCGCUAAUUGAGUUCAACAAGAGCAUCACCGACGAUCCUCAAGGAGCCUUGAGUAACUGGGACACCACAACCCACUUCUGCCACUGGAAUGGUGUCAACUGCACCACGACACCACCGUUCCGUGUCAAGCAGCUUAAACUCAGCGGCUGGAACUUAGGAGGCCAAAUCACCUCCUCUCUUGGAAACUUAACCUUCCUUGAAACGCUUGACCUUUCAUACAAUAACUUCGUUGGCCCCUUGCCUAUCCUUGGCAAUCUCCAACGAUUGCAGACACUUUAUCUGUACCACAACCGUUUAAAUGGGAUGAUUCCUGAUUCAAUUACCAAUUGUUCCAACUUGGCCAACUUAGAUCUAUCCGCAAACUCGCUAGUUGGCGUAAUUCCACCAAAAUUAGACCUGCUUUCAAAUCUGUCCUACUUAAACCUAUCCAGAAAUUCCCUAGCGGGCGUAAUUCCUACGAAACUGGGCUUCCUUUCCAAUCUGACCGUCGUAGAUCUCUCUGUAAACUUGCUAGUGGGUCAAAUUCCUCCCAAACUAGACUUACUUUCGAAACUGUUCUACUUGGAUCUCUCUAGAAACUCACUAGUGGGUCAAAUUCCUCCGAGAUUAGGCUUUCUUAAAAAUCUAGAAUAUCUCUAUCUUGGAUCAAACCAACUCGAGGGGAGCAUUCCUGAUGAGCUUGGGCAAUUGCUGCAAUUGGAACAGCUGCUCCUAGGCAACAAUAAGCUUACAGGUGAAUUCCCACAUGCCAUCUUGAACUCUUUAGGUUCACUCAAAUAUUUAGGCUUGGGGUCCAAUAUGCUACGCAAUGCAUUGCCAACUAAUAUUGGCGACCGUCUGCCUAAUCUCAUUGAACUUACCUUGGCUGGUAACAUGUUUGAAGGUAACAUCCCAGCUUCCCUAGGCAGCGCUCAAGGUUUAGAACUGAUAGAUUUAUCAAAUAACAGUUUCACUGGGAUAAUUCCUACUUCUUUUCGAAAUCUUUCAAGUCUGACUAUUCUAAACCUUGAGUAUAACCAGCUUGAAACAAGGGACAACAGAGACUGGGAAUUCUUAAAUGCAUUGACAAAUUGUCGAUCCCUAAAGAAACUAUCACUCUCUUACAAUCAGCUCCAGGGACCUAUUCCCCAGUCCGUUGGUAAUCUAUCCCCCAGCCUUGAGAGUCUUCGGCUGACUGGAAACAACUUGUCUGGACAAGUACCCCAGAGCAUCAGAAAACUUAAUGCCUUAACUCAACUUGCACUAGGCGAAAACUAUUUAAGUGGUAGAGUCGAAGGAUGGGUUGGAAACCUAACUUCCCUUCAAUUACUAAAUCUCAAGUCAAACCACUUCACGGGCCCAAUCCCAUCCUCUAUUGGCAAUCUUGUUAACUUGACAUAUUUCUACAUAAAUGACAAUGAAUUCGAUGGCGUGAUACCAGCUAGCUUAGGAAACCUUCCACUCUCGAAGCUAGACCUUGGCUAUAACAAUCUCCAAGGGCAUAUACCACCAAACUUUUGGAACCUCCAAGAACUAAUAAUAUUGAACGUCGGCCACAAUAAUCUUCAAGGUGCCAUUCCUGAGAUUGGUACCCUUAAACACCUCACCACAUUAGAUCUUUCUUCAAAUAUGCUUACCGGACAAAUUCCUGAUUCUUUGGGCCAAUGUUACGACUUAGUGAGUCUACAAAUGGACCAAAACUCUCUUAUCGGAAACAUCCCAGCAACUUUUGGCAACCUGUCGUCUCUGAGCAUGCUAAAUCUUUCACACAACAACUUGUCAGGCAACAUACCGACAGUUCUAAACACACUGAAGUUCCUCAACAGUCUUGACCUUUCGCAUAAUCAUCUUCAAGGAGAAAUACCCAUAUAUGGAGUGUUUGACAAUGCUACAGCCGUUUCACUUGAGGAUAAUUGGGGGCUCUGUGGAGGCGCCGUGUUUUUCCACAUGGCUUCAUGCAAAACCAUUUCCAAGCAAUCAGAGAGACGAAACCGUUUGAUUAAAGUGCUGAUCCCAAUAUUCGGGUUCAUGUUAGUCAUAUUGUUGGUCUACCUUUUACUCCUUGAGAAGAAGAUGCGAAGGAGGACAGAUGAUACAUCAACUUCACUAGGGGAGAACUUUAUGAAGGUCUCUUAUGCAGAUCUAGCACAAGCCACAGCAAACUUCUCGGAGUCUAACCUGGUUGGAAGAGGAGGUUAUGGUUCUGUGUAUAGAGGAAAGUUGAAGGAAUCUAAGGUGGAUGUGGCUGUCAAGGUUUUUGAUCUUGAGAUGCACGGAGCAGAGAAAAGCUUUCUAAAAGAAUGUGAGGCACUGCGAAGCAUUCAGCAUAGAAAUCUUCUUCCCAUCCUUACCGCUUGCUCGACAGUAGACAGUACAGGCAAUGUUUUCAAAGCUUUAGUUUAUGAGUUCAUGCCUAAUGGGAACCUAGACACAUGGCUGCAUCCCAGAGAGGACGGGAAGGCUCAUAAACAUUUAAGCUUAGCUCAAAGAUUAGACAUAGCUGUCAACAUGGCUGACGCACUGGAUUAUCUACACCAUGACUGCGGAAGACCCACCAUCCAUUGUGAUUUGAAGCCAAGCAAUAUUCUUCUUGAUGGUGAUAUGACUGCUCUUUUGGGAGACUUUGGAAUUGCAAGUUUCUACCAAGAUUCAUGGUCAACAUCAACCAGUUCAAUGAGUUCAUCAUCAGUCGGUGUGAAGGGUACUAUAGGAUAUAUUGCUCCAGAGUACGCCGGAGGUGGCCGCCGUGCAUCAACCACUGGAGAUGUUUAUGGUUUUGGGAUAAUACUGCUGGAAAUGAUGACUGGAAAAAGACCCACAGAUCCUAUGUUCAAGGAUGGAGUUAGCAUUGUCGACUUUGUGGAUAGCAACUUUCCACAUGAAAUAGUUCAUGUCAUUGACGUCAAUCUCAGCGAAGACUCAGGGGUUGACAUUACUCAAGCAAACAAGGCUUCAGAAAAUUAUGUUCGUGAAUGCUUGGUAUCUAUGCUGCAACUAGCACUUUCCUGUACGCACCCAGUACCAAGCGAACGAAUGAACAUGAAAGAGGUGGCCAGCAAAAUUCAUGCAAUUAAAACAUCAUAUGUGGGACGGAAAACAGAAGAGCGUCCUUCACUAGAGUAA
RNAcentral lists this ribosomal RNA (3225 nucleotides) under Triticum aestivum (bread wheat). RNAcentral describes it as "partial small subunit ribosomal RNA". The record is from RNAcentral. Lineage: Eukaryota; Viridiplantae; Streptophyta; Magnoliopsida; Poales; Poaceae.